AGAGUAGAUUUGAGCCAAAGAUGACUUGCCGGCAUGCUGCCUGAAAAGCAAGAAGGGUGUUGUUUUGCUGGCAGUUGUCAUUGGUUCAUGUUUGCUCUUU
Molecule: microRNA precursor, 100 nt
Organism: Medicago truncatula (barrel medic)
Lineage: Eukaryota; Viridiplantae; Streptophyta; Magnoliopsida; Fabales; Fabaceae
Source: Rfam